UCCUCGGUAGCUCAGUUGGUAGAGCAAACGACUGUUAAUCGUUGGGUCGCAGGUUCGAGUCCUGCCCGGGGAGCCA
RNAcentral lists this transfer RNA (76 nucleotides) under Campylobacterota bacterium. RNAcentral's name for it is "Epsilonproteobacteria bacterium tRNA-Asn". It matches the Rfam family "tRNA". From Rfam's summary of the family: Transfer RNA (tRNA) molecules are approximately 80 nucleotides in length. Their secondary structure includes four short double-helical elements and three loops (D, anti-codon, and T loops). Further hydrogen bonds mediate the characteristic L-shaped molecular structure. tRNAs have two regions of fundamental functional importance: the anti-codon, which is responsible for specific mRNA codon recognition, and the 3' end, to which the tRNAs corresponding amino acid is attached (by aminoacyl-tRNA synthetases). tRNAs cope with the degeneracy of the genetic code in two manners: having more than one tRNA (with a specific anti-codon) for a particular amino acid; and 'wobble' base-pairing, i.e. permitting non-standard base-pairing at the 3rd anti-codon position. The record is from RNAcentral. RNAcentral also lists the same sequence under 4 other names. Lineage: Bacteria; Pseudomonadati; Campylobacterota.